RNAcentral lists this small nuclear RNA (107 nucleotides) under Jaculus jaculus (lesser Egyptian jerboa). The record is from RNAcentral. Lineage: Eukaryota; Metazoa; Chordata; Mammalia; Rodentia; Dipodidae.
GCGCUCGCUUCGGCAGCACGUAUACUAAAGUCGGAACGAUACAGAGAAGAUGAGGAUGGCCCCUGUGCAAGGAUGACACGCAAAUUCGUGUCUUUUUGAGACAUUGC